CUGUAAAGCAUUGUUGUGAAGUAGAGUUAGUGGGCUGUGGAGUCUCCAACACUGCAGGUAUGGAAAAGGAAGUUAGACAAAUACCAGCCCAGAAUAGUGUAGAUAUCAUUGAUCCUGCUUUGAGAGAGGUGAUAGACUAGAUGGCCACUUGAGGUUCCUUAUUCUCCAUUGAUUCUAUCAAUUCUUCUAUAAUCCAAGGAAAAUAAUUAUUAUACAAACAUCUGGUAGAGGAGAAGCUGAAACAGCAAGGCAAGAAUGACAAUGAGAAUACGAAAUGGCUAAAGGAAAGAAACUAUGCUACCAUAGUUCAACAGACUGAGCAGACACUGAAGAAAAUAAGUGACUAUUUGUUUUUUCCUUUAGAGACAUUUGGAAGGAAACAAGAAAAAACAUGGAAAAGAAAAAUCAUGAAUUAUCCAAGUUGCAUUAAUAAUUCAUUUUAUUUUACCAGCCAAAUUCAGAUUUGUUUAAAAAAUAGUAUCUUUUCCCCAAAGAACAGUAGUGUAGCUGUGGUGAAAAUGUGCAUUUUGCUUACAAUUCAAACAAUGCCUUGUUGAAUUAAGUUUAUAGAUUGAAAAAGAGAAACACUAGAACACCUAUCGGGUGGAUUCACCAUGAAUCUUAGGUUGUCACAUUUAACCAUAUAUUCCAAGUUAAAUGGAAGUAUAAUGAGAGCAUAGAAAGACUUAGUAAGGAUAGAGAGUCUUAGUGAAAACAAUGCUGAAUGAGGCUGAUAAUUGAGUGUUUUACUGAAGUGUACCACACUGCUAAGACUUCACUGUGAGCACGUUUCAGGGAGAACAAGAACAAAAGUACAUCGUAAUAUAUGCAGUUGCUGCAGUUACUACGUAAGUAUUCACUCAUUAAAAUAAUAAAGAAAACCAACAAAUUGGUGUUACACUGGAAUGCAAGAAGAUGAGUAAACACUUGUGGAAAGGAUGCCUCCCUAAAAAGUCAAAGCGUGAGCCGUAUGCAUACCCUCUGCAAGAGACCUCAGAAUAUUCAUUAAAGGGGUUCUAAAGCAUGAAAUAGUUUGAAGGACUUCAGAAGUUUGGACCUCAUAAUUGUUCACAGGAUAUUUUUUUACAUUUGUGCUUUUCAAGGCAAAUUUGGUGCAUGUACUUUGCAGCUGCUGGACUGUGUUCAGAGUUCUGCAAGGUGAGUACAAAGUCAAGAAGCUUGACAUAUUUCUUGUCUCUUCUCCUUUGUUUCGUAACUUCCUCAUUCCACCAGAAGUGAACGUGAACCUGUCUAAUAUUUCAUAGAGGUGGUAUAAGAAGAUGGAAAGGACAAUUUUACCAAA
This is a long non-coding RNA of Harpia harpyja (harpy eagle), 1303 nucleotides long. RefSeq lists it as uncharacterized. The record is from RefSeq and is a predicted model, not a curated record. The transcript has 3 exons. NCBI's taxonomy places the organism in Eukaryota, Metazoa, Chordata, Aves, Accipitriformes, Accipitridae.